This 258-nucleotide ribosomal RNA is filed under the name uncultured bacterium. RNAcentral describes it as "partial 16S ribosomal RNA". It matches the Rfam family "Bacterial small subunit ribosomal RNA", at positions 96 to 354 of the family's 1533-position model. The record is from RNAcentral.
UGGCGGACGGGUGAGUAACGCGUGGAAAACCUGCCGUAUACUGGGGGAUAACACUUAGAAAUAGGUGCUAAUACCGCAUAAGCGCACAGCUUCGCAUGAAGCGGUGUGAAAAACUCUGGUGGUAUACGAUGGUUCCGCGUCUGAUUAGCUAGUUGGUGGGGUAAUGGCCUACCAAGGCAACGAUCAGUAGCCGGCCUGAGAGGGUGAACGGCCACAUUGGGACUGAGACACGGCCCUAACUCCUACGGGAGGCAGCAG